GAUGAACGCUGGCGGCGUGCCUAAUACAUGCAAGUCGAGCGAACAGACGAGGAGCUUGCUCCUCUGACGUUAGCGGCGGACGGGUGAGUAACACGUGGAUAACCUACCUAUAAGACUGGGAUAACUUCGGGAAACCGGAGCUAAUACCGGAUAAUAUAUUGAACCGCAUGGUUCAAUAGUGAAAGACGGUUUUGCUGUCACUUAUAGAUGGAUCCGCGCCGCAUUAGCUAGUUGGUAAGGUAACGGCUUACCAAGGCGCCGAUGCGUAGCCGACCUGAGAGGUGGCUCGGCCACCCUGGACCUGGGCCACGGUCCGGACUCCUACGGGGGGCAGCAGUAGGGAUUCUUCCGCAAUGGGCGAAAGCCUGACGGAGCAACGCCGCGUGGGUGAUGAAGGUCUUCGGUUCGUAAAACUCUGUUAUUAGGGAAGAACAAAUGUGUAAGUAACUAUGCACGUCUUGACGGUACCUAAGCAGAAAGCCACGGCUAACUACGU
Molecule: ribosomal RNA, 496 nt
Filed under: uncultured bacterium
Lineage: Bacteria
Description: partial 16S ribosomal RNA
Rfam family: Bacterial small subunit ribosomal RNA
Source: RNAcentral